UGGGAAAGUGGAGCUAAUACCGGAUACGCCCUUUUGGGGAAAGGUUUACUGCCGAAGGAUCGGCCCGCGUCUGAUUAUCUAGUUGGUGGGGUAACGGCCUACCAAGGCGACGAUCAGUAUCUGGUCUGAGAGGAUGAUCAGCCACACUGGGACUGAGACACGGCCCAUACUCCUACGGGAGGCAGCAGUGGGGAAUAUUGGACAAUGGGCGCAAGCCUGAUCCAGCCAUGCCGCGUGAGUGAUGAAGGCCUUAGGGUUGUAAAGCUCUUUUAUCCGGGACCAUAAUGACGGUACCGGAGGAAUAAGCCCCGGCUAACUUCCUGCCAGCAGCCGGGGUAAUACGAAGGGGGCUAGCGUUGCUCGGAAUCACUGGGCGGUAAAGGGCCCGUAGGCGGGCGUUUUAAGUCGGGGGGUGAAAGCCUGUGGCUCAACCACAGAAUGGCCUUCGAUACUGGGACGCUUGAGUCUGG
RNAcentral lists this ribosomal RNA (470 nucleotides) under uncultured bacterium. Its description in RNAcentral is "bacterial SSU rRNA". It matches the Rfam family "Bacterial small subunit ribosomal RNA", at positions 150 to 651 of the family's 1533-position model. The record is from RNAcentral.